Molecule: ribosomal RNA, 267 nt
Filed under: uncultured bacterium
Lineage: Bacteria
Description: partial 16S ribosomal RNA
Rfam family: Bacterial small subunit ribosomal RNA
Source: RNAcentral
CGACCGGCGCACGGGUGAGUAACGCGGUAUGCAACCUGCCCGUUUCAGCGGGAUAACCCGGAGAAAUCCGGCCUAAUACCGCAUGUGGCCGAGGGGAGGCAUCUUCUUUCGGCCAAAGGAGGCAACUCCGGAGACGGAUGGGCAUGCGUGACAUUAGCUUGUUGGCGGGGUAACGGCCCACCAAGGCGACGAUGUCUAGGGGUUCUGAGAGGAAGGUCCCCCACACUGGUACUGAGACACGGACCAGACUCCUACGGGAGGCAGCAG